This 1259-nucleotide ribosomal RNA is filed under the name Bostrichoidea sp. 2 KM-2017. Its description in RNAcentral is "16S ribosomal RNA". The stretch from base 828 to 1195 matches the Rfam family "Archaeal large subunit ribosomal RNA", at positions 2148 to 2718 of the family's 2987-position model. Lineage: Eukaryota; Metazoa; Arthropoda; Insecta; Coleoptera. The record is from RNAcentral.
ACUUUUAAAAUUAUUUUAAUUGUUGUUGUUAAAUUAAUAUUUUAUUUAUUAUUGUUUUUUGAAAUGUUUUUGUUAUGAUAGUUUAUUUUUACAGUGGUGGUGGUUUUUAGAGUGAGAAAAAGAAUAAUUUAUUUUUAGUACCUUUUGUAUCAGGGUUCAAUAAAAAUUUCUUAUUUAUUUAAUUUUCCCGAAUUUUUAAGAGUUAAUAAAAUAUUUAUUUUAAUGUUGAAUAAUUAUUUAUAAUGUUUUGUUAGAAGUGAAACGCUAUUCGAUUAUUAAUUUAUCUGGUUUCUGUAGAAAUAAAUUUAAUUUAUUUAGCAAUGUUAUUUUAUGUUUUUAUAUUUAUUUUUUGUUGCUAUUAAAGAUUUAAGGGGAUAAGCUCUUAAUUUUUUUUAUAACUUUGUUUUUGGUAAAUUGGUUAAUAGGAAUAGAAUUUUUCAUUAUUAGGAUUAUGUAUUAAUUCACUUUUUUUGUUUAUUAUUUUUAGCUUGUUUAGGUUUUUUAUUCAGAUUGUUUUUAUAAUUUUUUUAAUUUUGUAAUAAUGUUGGAAUUAGUAAAGUUUUUGUAAGUUUUUUUUCCUGUUAAAGGUUAAAAAAAGGAACUCGGCAAAUUUUUCCUCCGCCUGUUUACUAAAAACAUGUCUUUUUGUUUUUAUUUAAAGUCUAGUCUGCUCACUGAUUUUUAAAGAGCCGCGGUAUUUUGACCGUGCGAAGGUAGCAUAAUAAUUAGUUUUUUUAUUGGAAACUGGAAUGAACGAUUGGACGAGAGGAAUACUGUCUCUUUUUAAUUUUAUUGAAUUUUACUUUUGAGUUAAAAGGCUCAAAUUUUUUUAAAAGACGAGAAGACCCUAUAGAGUUUUAUUGUUUUGCUUUUUUAAGGUUUGUGGUAAGUUUUUUUUUGAAGGGGUAAAGCAUUUUUGUUGGGGUGACAGAAAAAUUUAAUUAACUUUUUUUAUAUUUAGACACUAAUUUGUGGAUUAUUGAACCAAUAUUUUUGAUUUUAAGAUAAAUUACCUUAGGGAUAACAGCGUAAUUUUUUUUGAGAGUUCUUAUCGAAAAAAAAGUUUGCGACCUCGAUGUUGGAUUAAAAUUUAAUUUUGGUGUAGAAGCUAAAUAUUUAAGUCUGUUCGACUUUUAAAAUUUUACAUGAUCUGAGUUUAGACCGGCGUGAGCCAGGUUAGUUUCUAUCUUUAGAAUGAUUAAUCAUUUUAGUACGAAAGGACCAAUUGAUUGUUUUAUAAGUUUUAUUUUGAAUAUAAG